CCCCCCCCAAAAUAUUCUAUGACUUAAGUAAAGACGAUUGAAAACCUUACAGGAGCUAUACCAUGUACCGCAAGGGAAUGAUGAAAUAAAAUGAAAUAACAGCAAGCACAAAAAAGUAGAGGUUGUCACUCGUACCUUUUGCAUCAUGGUUUAACUAGUCUAACCAAGCAAAAAGACUUUUAGUUUGACCCCCCGAAACUGAGUGAGCUACUCCAGGGCAGCUUAUUGAGCGAACCCGUCUCUGUUGCAAGAGAGUGGGAAGACCCUGAAGUAGAGGUGACAGACCUAACGAACCCGGUGAUAGCUGGUUACUCAAGAAAAGAAUUUUAGUCCAACCUAAAGUAACUCAGUAAACUCAAAUAUAUCACUUUAGAGCAAUUCAAAUAAGGUACAGCCUAUUUGAAAAAGGAUACAACCUAUAAUGGCGGGUAACCUACGCAUACCGCAGCCAAGUGGGCCUAAGAGCAGCCACCUUAAAAAAGCGUCAAAGCUUAACUUCGCCCCCCCCCACCUAAUGCCCCCAUUAGCACGGAACCCCCACAACACUAUUGAGUACUUCUAUAUUCUUAUAGAAUUUUUUAUGUUAAAACUAGUAACAAGAAAACAUUUCUCUUACAAUGCGAGUGUAAGUCAGAACGGAUCACCCCACUGAUCACCACACACCCCCAAACAGCACCCCCC
Molecule: ribosomal RNA, 681 nt
Filed under: Ischnocnema holti (Holt's robber frog)
Lineage: Eukaryota; Metazoa; Chordata; Amphibia; Anura; Brachycephalidae
Description: partial 16S ribosomal RNA
Rfam family: Bacterial large subunit ribosomal RNA (bases 118-631)
Source: RNAcentral